AGUCGUGGGGCAGCACAGGUAGCAAUACUGGGUGGCGACCGGCAAACGGGUGCGGAACACGUACGCAACCUUCCUUUGAGCGGAGAAUAGCCCAGGGAAACUUGGAUUAAUACUCCAUAAUACAAUUGGGUGGCAUCACCUGAUUGUUAAAGCUCCGGCACUUAAGGAUGGGCGUGCGGCUGAUUAGGUAGUUGGCGGGGUAAUGGCCCACCAAGCCGACGAUCAGUAACUGGUGUGAGAGCACGACCAGUCACACGGGCACUGAGACACGGGCCCGACUCCUACGGGAGGCAGCAGUAAGGAAUAUUGGUCAAUGGACGCAAGUCUGAACCAGCCAUGCCGCGUGGAGGAUGAAGGCCCUCUGGGUUGUAAACUUCUUUUAUUGGGGAAGAAACCGGUUCUUUCUAGAGCCGUUGACGGUACCCGAUGAAUAAGCACCGGCUAACUCCGUGCCAGCAGCCGCGGUAAUACGGAGGGUGCAAGCGUUAUCCGGAUUCACUGGGUUUAAAGGGUGCGUAGGUGGGCAGGUAAGUCAGUGGUGAAAUCUCCGGGCUUAACCCGGAAACUGCCGUUGAUACUAUCUGUCUUGAAUGUAGUGGAGGUGAGCGGAAUAUGUCAUGUAGCGGUGAAAUGCUUAGAUAUGACAUAGAACACCCAUUGCGAAGGCAGCUCGCUACACUACUAUUGACACUGAGGCACGAAAGCGUG
RNAcentral lists this ribosomal RNA (708 nucleotides) under uncultured Bacteroidota bacterium. RNAcentral describes it as "bacterial SSU rRNA". It matches the Rfam family "Bacterial small subunit ribosomal RNA", at positions 60 to 763 of the family's 1533-position model. The record is from RNAcentral. Lineage: Bacteria; Pseudomonadati; Bacteroidota.